Molecule: small nuclear RNA, 107 nt
Organism: Hemiscyllium ocellatum (epaulette shark)
Lineage: Eukaryota; Metazoa; Chordata; Chondrichthyes; Orectolobiformes; Hemiscylliidae
Source: RefSeq, a predicted model, not a curated record
AUGCUCGCUUCGGCAGCACACAUACUGAAAUUGGAACACUACAGAGAAGAUUAGCACAGUCCCUGCGCAAGGAUGACAUGCAAAUUCGUGAAGUGCUCCAUAUUUUA